RNAcentral lists this ribosomal RNA (478 nucleotides) under uncultured bacterium. RNAcentral's name for it is "partial 16S ribosomal RNA". It matches the Rfam family "Bacterial small subunit ribosomal RNA", at positions 28 to 507 of the family's 1533-position model. The record is from RNAcentral.
GAUGAACGCUGGCGGCGUGCUUAACACAUGCAAGUCGAACGAGAAGUGGAGACGGAAACCUUCGUGCCGAAGACUUUAUUUCGAGUGGCGGACGGUUGAGUAACGCGUUGGUAACCUGCCUCAUACAGGGGGAUAACAGUUGGAAACGACUGUUAAUACCGCAUAAGACCACAGCACCGCAUGGUGCGGGGUUAAAAACUCCGCUGGUAUGAGAUGGACCCCCGUUCGAUUAGCCAGUUGGCGGGGGAACGGCCCACCAAAGCGACGAUCGAUAGCCGAUAUGAGAGGCUGGGCGGAGACACUGGGAGGGAGCCACGGCAGGGACUCCUCCGGGAGGCAGGAGUGGGGAACAGUGCACAAUGGGGGGAACGAUGAUGCAGCGCGGCUGGGUGAGCGAAGAAGUAUGGGGGUAUGUAAAGCUCUAUGAGCAGGGAAGAAAAUGACGGUACCUGAGUAAGAAGCCACGGCUAACUACGUG